ACGCUAGCUACAGGCUUAACACAUGCAAGUCGAGGGGCAUCAGGAAGAAAGCUUGCUUUCUUUGCUGGCGACCGGCGCACGGGUGAGUAACACGUAUCCAACCUGCCCUUUACUCGGGGAUAGCCUUUCGAAAGAAAGAUUAAUACCCGAUGGCAUAAUGAUUCCGCAUGGUUUCAUUAUUAAAGGAUUCCGGUAAAGGAUGGGGAUGCGUUCCAUUAGGUUGUUGGUGAGGUAACGGCUCACCAAGCCUUCGAUGGAUAGGGGUUCUGAGAGGAAGGUCCCCCACAUUGGAACUGAGACACGGUCCAGACUCCUACGGGAGGCAGCAGUGAGGAAUAUUGGUCAAUGGGCGCUAGCCUGAACCAGCCAAGUAGCGUGAAGGAUGAAGGCUCUAUGGGUCGUAAACUUCUUUUAUAUAAGAAUAAAGUGCAGUAUGUAUACUGUUUUGUAUGUAUUAUAUGAAUAAGGAUCGGCUAACUCCGUGCCAGCAGCCGCGGUAAUACGGAGGAUCCGAGCGUUAUCCGGAUUUAUUGGGUUUAAAGGGAGCGUAGGUGGACUGGUAAGUCAGUUGUGAAAGUUUGCGGCUCAACCGUAAAAUUGCAGUUGAUACUGUCAGUCUUGAGUACAGUAGAGGUGGGCGGAAUUCGUGGUGUAGCGGUGAAAUGCUUAGAUAUCACGAAGAACUCCGAUUGCGAAGGCAGCUCACUGGACUGCAACUGACACUGAUGCUCGAAAGUGUGGGGUAUCAAACAGGGAUUAGAUACCCUGGUAGUCCACACAGUAAACGAUGAAUACUCGCUGUUUGCGAUAUACAGUAAGCGGCCAAGCGAAAGCAUUAAGUAUUCCACCUGGGGAGUACGCCGGCAACGGUGAAACUCAAAGGAAUUGACGGGGGCCCGCACAAGCGGAGGAACAUGUGGUUUAAUUCGAUGAUACGCGAGGAACCUUACCCGGGCUUAAAUUGCAGUGGAAUGAUGUGGAAACAUGUCAGUGAGCAAUCACCGCUGUGAAGGUGCUGCAUGGUUGUCGUCAGCUCGUGCCGUGAGGUGUCGGCUUAAGUGCCAUAACGAGCGCAACCCUUAUCUUUAGUUACUAACAGGUUAUGCUGAGGACUCUAGAGAGACUGCCGUCGUAAGAUGUGAGGAAGGUGGGGAUGACGUCAAAUCAGCACGGCCCUUACGUCCGGGGCUACACACGUGUUACAAUGGGGGGUACAGAAGGCAGCUAGCGGGUGACCGUAUGCUAAUCCCAAAAGCCUCUCUCAGUUCGGAUCGAAGUCUGCAACCCGACUUCGUGAAGCUGGAUUCGCUAGUAAUCGCGCAUCAGCCACGGCGCGGUGAAUACGUUCCCGGGCCUUGUACACACCGCCCGUCAAGCCAUGGGAGCCGGGGGUACCUGAAGUACGUAACCGCAAGGAUCGUCCUAGGGUAAAACUGGUGACUGGGG
RNAcentral lists this ribosomal RNA (1446 nucleotides) under uncultured organism. RNAcentral describes it as "SSU rRNA". It matches the Rfam family "Bacterial small subunit ribosomal RNA". The record is from RNAcentral.